Molecule: transfer RNA, 74 nt
Filed under: Spirochaetaceae bacterium
Lineage: Bacteria; Pseudomonadati; Spirochaetota; Spirochaetia; Spirochaetales; Spirochaetaceae
Also listed under: 4 other names
Description: tRNA-Arg
Rfam family: tRNA
About the family: Transfer RNA (tRNA) molecules are approximately 80 nucleotides in length. Their secondary structure includes four short double-helical elements and three loops (D, anti-codon, and T loops).
Source: RNAcentral
GCGUCCGUAGCUCAGCUGGAUAGAGCGCCGGACUUCGAAUCCGUAGGUCGCAGGUUCGAGUCCUGCCGGGCGCG